UUGCUUGCUUCCACAGCACAUGUACUAAAAUGGGAACAAUAAAGAGAGAUUAGCAUGGCCCCUGCAGAAGAGUGACAUGCAAAUUUGUGAAGCAUUCCAUAUUUUA
Tursiops truncatus (common bottlenose dolphin) is the source of this 106-nucleotide small nuclear RNA. NCBI's taxonomy places the organism in Eukaryota, Metazoa, Chordata, Mammalia, Artiodactyla, Delphinidae. The record is from Ensembl.